This 269-nucleotide ribosomal RNA is filed under the name uncultured prokaryote. RNAcentral describes it as "partial 16S ribosomal RNA". It matches the Rfam family "Bacterial small subunit ribosomal RNA", at positions 524 to 792 of the family's 1533-position model. The record is from RNAcentral.
UACGGAGGAUCCGAGCGUUAUCCGGAUUUAUUGGGUUUAAAGGGUGCGCAGGCGGGAGAUUAAGUCGGCGGUGGAAUUUUGCAGCUCAACUGUAAAAGUGCCUUCGAAACUGGUUUCCUUGAGUGUAGAUGAAGUAGGCGGAAUUUGUGGUGUAGCGGUGAAAUGCAUAGAUAUCACGAGGAACUCCGAUUGCGCAGGCAGCUUACUAAACUACUACUGACGCUCAGGCACGAAGGCGUGGGGAUCAAACAGGAUUAGAUACCCGCGUA